CCCAAGGGCAUCUGGAUACAGCCAUUCCUGGUGGGUUUGCUGCUGCCUCAACACCCAGACCUUCUCCAGGCAGGAAGUUCAGCAAAAUGCAGGCGCCGAGGAGGAUUCUGCAGCUUUGACGGUUGCAGCUCCCAAACAAAACCUAUUGGAAGAUGUUCUGCAGUCAGUGUGUGCUGCAAGAGUCGCUGGGUUUGAAACCCUGAAAUUCC
Long non-coding RNA from Poecile atricapillus (Black-capped chickadee), 209 nucleotides. RefSeq lists it as uncharacterized. Lineage: Eukaryota; Metazoa; Chordata; Aves; Passeriformes; Paridae. The transcript is spliced from 3 exons. The record is from RefSeq and is a predicted model, not a curated record.